CUAGUACUCCCUCCGUUCCAAAUUACUCGUCGCAGAAAUGGAUGUAUCUAGAACUAAAAUACAUCUAGAUACAUCCAUACCCGCGAUAAAUAAUUCGGAACGGAGGGAGUAAUUU
Triticum urartu is the source of this 115-nucleotide non-coding RNA. NCBI's taxonomy places the organism in Eukaryota, Viridiplantae, Streptophyta, Magnoliopsida, Poales, Poaceae. The record is from Rfam.